GAUGAACGCUGGCGGCGUGCCUAAUACAUGCAAGUCGAGCGAACGGAUUAAGAGCUUGCUCUUAUGAAGUUAGCGGCGGACGGGUGAGUAACACGUGGGUAACCUGCCCAUAAGACUGGGAUAACUCCGGGAAACCGGGGCUAAUACCGGAUAAUAUUUUGAACUGCAUAGUUCGAAAUUGAAAGGCGGCUUCGGCUGUCACUUAUGGAUGGACCCGCGUCGCAUUAGCUAGUUGGUGAGGUAACGGCUCACCAAGGCAACGAUGCGUAGCCGACCUGAGAGGGUGAUCGGCCACACUGGGACUGAGACACGGCCCAGACUCCUACGGGAGGCAGCAGUAGGGAAUCUUCCGCAAUGGGCGAAAGCCUGACGCAGCGACGCCGCGUGGGUGAUGAAGGCC
Molecule: ribosomal RNA, 400 nt
Filed under: uncultured bacterium
Lineage: Bacteria
Description: bacterial SSU rRNA
Rfam family: Bacterial small subunit ribosomal RNA
Source: RNAcentral